CCUACGGGAGGCUGCAGUGAGGAAUAUUGGUCAAUGGCCGUAAGGCUGAACCAGCCAAGCCGCGUGAAGGAAGAAGGAUCUAUGGUUUGUAAACCUCUUUUAUAGGGGAAUAAAGGUCUCCACGUGUGGAUGAUUGCAUGUACCCUAUGAAUAAGCAUCGGCUAACUCCGUGCCAGCAGCCGCGGUAAUACGGAGGAUGCGAGCGUUAUCCGGAUUUAUUGGGUUUAAAGGGUGCGUAGGUUGUUUCUUAAGUCAGCGGUGAAAGUUUGUGGCUCAACCCUAAGAGUGCCGUUGAAACUGGCAGACUUGAGUGUGGUAGAGGUAGGCGGAAUGCGUGGUGUAGCGGUGAAAUGCAUAGAUAUCACGCAGAACUCCGAUUGCGAAGGCAGCUUACUAGGCCAUAACUGACACUGAGGCACGAAAGCGUGGGGAUCAAACAGGAUUAGAUACCCGUGUAGUC
RNAcentral lists this ribosomal RNA (460 nucleotides) under uncultured bacterium. RNAcentral describes it as "partial 16S ribosomal RNA". It matches the Rfam family "Bacterial small subunit ribosomal RNA", at positions 338 to 795 of the family's 1533-position model. The record is from RNAcentral.